AGAAGAGAAGGCAGGCAGGAUCCACCUCUCACCUCUUCCCAAGCUGCCUGCCAGCGCAUUUCCUUGGCAGCCAGGGCAGCGUGUGUCCCAGGGCACGCACACAGGUCACUGUGCAGGACACAGAGCCACAGAGCAUAGGGCUCUGGGCACCAGGCUGGAAUCUGCAGCUGGGACAGGAGCAAGCAUGGUGGGGCAGCAGGCGCUACUGCUAGCUGGCUUGUUUUUGCCUGGGUUCCUGCUCUCUGAGGCUGCAAAAAUUCUGACUUCUUUUGCACUGGGUGAGUGCUUAGCUGGAGAAUCAGAAAGGGGCCCAUCCCAGGCCCCUGUGCCAGGGUUCAGUCACAGCCUUAGGUCAGAGGAUCAUUCCAUGUGGUGUUCUAGAGAGGGCUAGGGUCCCAGGCCAGAGGAGGGAGAGGCGUGAGAGGUCUGUGCGGUAGAAUGGGAUCCCUACUGCUGCGAUGGGGAAGUUAGUUUUGGGCUACCAGCAGUUUCCUUUCCUCUCUUUGUAUUUGCUCUGGAGCUGCUUCACAUUCUGCAUUCCUGGGGCCAGAAUGUAGAGCCAGUGCUGAGCUAGAAAUCGUGAGCUGCCCACCACAGGGCAUGGCAGGGACUUUCAGAGGCACAUGCUAAAAGUGUGGGACAGUAGAAAGUGGAAAGUGAAAUCAGUUUCACGCUCUUGGAGGCUAAGGACAGGGGCUCCUGGGGGCAGCAGCACUAACUGGGCAUGUUUCAUUAAUGGGAAACCUGGAGAACUGCCUGGGCAGUGGAGGGGGCCCUGGACGAUCAAGUUCUCGGUGCCCCUCUCUCUUUUGCCCUUACUGCUGGAAGGUGUUGACGGACUGUGAAGCAGUUAAUUUUGUGUGAACCCAGUUGUAAUGCCUUUAUUUUGUCCCAAAGGGAACAGAAGGGGAACAGGAACAUUUAUUAGGAAGAAGGUUUCAGAAGAUGGAGUUUCCUGAAGACUUUUUUGGAUCCAUUGUGACAGGCUAGGGGAUCUGCCCUGCCCCUGCCUCUGCCCCAGAAUGCACUGGGCUCACCAACACCUUCAGGAAUGGCUGUCUCUGCAGGAAGCCUUUUCUCAUGCAUCCAUUCUUUCCUUCCAUCCUUCUUGCCUGCCUUCCUUCCUUCCUUCCUCCUCUUCCUCCUUCUCUUCUUUCUUUCUUUCUUUCUUUCUUUCUUUCUUUCUUUCUUUCUUCUUUCAAGUUAGUUAACAUACGGUAUGGUCUUGGCUUCAGUAGUAGAACCCAGUGAUUCAUUUGUAACAUAUGACACCCAGUGCUCAAUCCAACAAGUUCCCUCCUUAAUACCUAUCACCCAUCUAACCCAUCUCCCCACCUACCUCCCCUCCGACAUCCCUCAGUUUGUUCUCUGUAUUUAAUGGUCUCUCAUAUUUUGCCUUCCUCUCUGUUUUUAUCUUAUUUGUCCUUCCUUUCCUCUUUGUUCAUCUGUUGUGUUUCUCAAAUUCCUCAUAUGAGUGAAAUCAUAUGAUAACUGUCUUUUUCUGACCUAUUUUGCUUAGCAUAAUACACUCUAGUUCCAUCUACGUUGUUGCAAAUGGCAAGAUUUCAUUCUUUUUCAUUGCUGAGUAGUAUUCCAGUAUGUAUGUAUGUAUGUAUGUAUGUAUGUAUGUAUGUGUGUAUAAGUUGAUGGACAUUUGCACUCUAUCCAUAAUUUUGCUAUGGAAAUUAUUUAUAGUGCUCCUAUAAACAUUGGGGUGCAUGUGCCCCUUUGAAUCAGAAUUUUUGUAUCCUUUGGAUAAAUUCCUAGUAGUGCAAUUGCUGGGUCAUAGGUUUGUUCUAUUUUUAUUCAUUUGUAUUUUAUUUUUCUCUUUUAAACAGAGGAUAUUUACAAUGAUGCUUUACUAUAUCCUUAAAAUUUAUUUUGUUCAUUUAUUUUUGAGAAAGAGAGAGAGAGACAGAGCAUGAGCAGGUGAGGGUCAGAGAGUGAAGGAGACACAGAAUCAGAAGCAAGCUCCAGGCUGUGCAUUGUCAGAACAGAGCCCCAUGCAGGGCUUGAACCCACAAACUAUGAGAUCAUAGGGUAGUUCUAUUUUUAAUUUUUUGAGGAAACUCCAUAGUAUUAUCCAGUGUGGCUGCACCAGUUUGCAUUCAAACCAACAGUGCAAAACGCUUCCCCUUUUUCUAAAUCCUCACCAACAUCUGUUGUUUUCUAAGUUGUUAAUUUUAGCCAUUCUGAUAGAUGUGGAGUGGUAUCUCAUUGUGGUUUGAUUUGUAUUUCUGAUGAUGUAUGAUGUUGAGCAUUUUUUUAAUGUGUCUGUUAGCCAUCUGGAUAUCUUCUUUGGAAAAGUGUCUUUUCAUGUCUUCUUCCCAUUUCUUCACUGGAGUAUUUGUUUUUUUGGGGUGUUAAGUCUGUUAAGUUCCUUCUAGAUUCUGGAUACUAAACCUUUAUCUGAUAUCUCAUUUGCAAAUAUCUUCUCUAAUUCCACUGGUUGCCUUUUAGUUUUGUUGGCUGUUUCCUUUGCUGUUCAAAAGAUUUUUAUCUUGAUGAGGUCCAAAAGUUCAUUUUUACUUUUAUUUCCUUUGCCUCUGAAGACAUGUCAAGUAAGAAGUUGCUGUGCCCUAGGUCAAAGAGUUUGCUGCCUGUUUUCUUCUCUAGGAGUUUGAUGGUUUCCUGUCCCACAUUUAGGUCAUUCAUCCAUUUUGAAUUUACUUUUGUGUGUGGUGUAAGAAAGUGGUCUAGUUUCAUUCUUCUGCAUGUCACUGGCCAGUUUUCCCAGCACCAUUUGUUAAAGAGACUGUCUUUCUUCCAUUGGAUAUGCUUUCCUGCUUUGUCAAAGAUUAGUUGGCCAUAUAUUUGAGGAUCCAUUUCUGGAUUCUCUAUCCUACUCCAUUGAUCUAUGUGUCUGUUUUUGUGUCAAUACCAUACUGUCUUGAUGUUUACAGCUUUGUUAACACAGGUUAAAGUCCAGGAUUAUGAUGCCUCCAGCUUUGGUUUUCUUUUUCAACAUUACUUUCUCUAUUCAGGGUCUUUAGUGGUUCCAUACAAAUUGUAGGAUUGUUUGUUUUAGUUCUGUGAAGAAUGCCAGUAUUAUUUUGAUAGGGAUUGCAUUGAAUGUGUAGAUUUAGAUAGCAUACACAUUUUAACAAUAUUUGUUCUUCAAAUCCAUGAACAUGAUAUGUUUUUUUUCAUUUCUUUGUGUCUUCUUCAAUGUCUUUCAUAAGGUUUAUAUAGUUUUCAGCAUACAGAUAUUUCACCUCUUUAGUUAGGUUCAUUCCUAGGUAUCUUAUGGGUUUUCGUGCAAUUGUAAAUGGGAUCAAUUCCUUGAAAUCUCUUUCUGCUGCUUCAUUAUUAGUAUAUAAAAAUGCAACCAAUUUCUGUACAUUGAUUUUAUAUCCUGCAUCUUGCCUGAAUUCAUGUAUUAGCUCUAGCAGUUUUUUGGUGGAGUCUUCAGGUUUUCCAUGUAGAGUAUCAUGUCAUCUUUGAAAAGUGAAAGAUUGACUUCUUCCUUACUGAUUUGGAUUUCUUUUAUUUCUUUUUGUUUUCUGAUUGCCAAGGCUAGGACUUCCAGUACUUUGUUGAACAAUAGUGGUGAGAGUGGACAUCCCUGUCUUGUUCCUGAUCUUAGAGGGAAAGCUCUGUUUUUCCCCACUGAGGAUGAUAUUAGUGGUGGGUCUUUCAUAUAUGGCUUUUAUGAUGUUAAGGUAUGUUCCUUCUAUCCCUUCUUUCUUGAGGGUUUUAUCAAGAAAUGAUGAUGUAUUUUGUCAAAUGUUUUUUUCUGCAUCUAUUGAAAGUAUCAUAUGGUUCUUAGUCUUUCUUUUAUUAAAACAAUUUUUUUUACAUUUAUUCAUUUUUGAGAGACAGAGAGAGACAGAGCACAAGCGGGGGAGGGGCAGAGAGAGAGGGAGACACAGAAUCCAAAACAGGCUCCAGGCUCCGAGCUGUCAAGACAGAGCCCAACGUGGGGCUCAAACCCACAAACCGCGAGAUCAUGACCUGAGCCGAAGUUGGACGCUCAACCGACUGAGCCACCGAGGAGCCCCUUAUCCUUUCUUUUAUUAAUGUGGUAUAUCAUGUUGAUUGAUUUGUGAAUAUUUAACUAGCCCUGCAGCCCAGGAAUGAAUCACAACUGAUCAUGGUGAAUAAUUCUUUUGAUGUACUGUUGAAUUCAAUUAAUAUCUUGUUGAGAUUUUUGCAUCCAUGUUCAUCAGGGAUAUUGGCCUGUAAUUCUUGUUUUUAGUGGGGUCUUUGUCUGGGUUUGCAAUCAAGGUGAAGCUAGAUUCAUAGAAUGAGUUUGAAGUUUUCCUUACAUUUCUAUUUUUUUGGAACAGUUUUAGGAGAAUAGAUAUUAAUUCUUCUUUAAAUACUUGGUAGAAUUCCCCUGGGGGGUCAUCUGGCCUAGGACUCUUAUUUGUUGGGAGAUUUUUGAUAAUCUAUUCAAUUUCUUUGCUGGUUAUGAGCCUGUUAAAUUUUCUGUUUCUUCCUGUUUGUGUUUUGGUAGUGUGUGUCUGGAAUUUUGUCCAUUUCUUCCAGAUUGUCCGUUUUGUUGGCAUAUAAUUUUCCAUAGUAUUCUCUUAUAAUUGUAUUUCUGUGGUGUUGGUUGUGAUCACUCCACUUUCAUUUGUGAUUUUAUCUGUUUGGGUCCUUACUCUUUUAUUUUUGAGAAGUCUGUCUAGGUAGUUUUCAAUUUUGCUUAUUUAAAAAAAAAACAGCUCUUAGUUUCAUUGAUCUGGUGUACUGUUUUGUUUUGUUUUUUUCUUUUUUGGAUCCUAAGUCAUUUAUUCUGCUCUAGUCUUUAUUAUUUCCCUUGUUCUGCUGGAUUUCGACUUAAUUUGCUGCUCCUUUUCUAACUCCUUUAGUUGUAAGGUUUGGUUGUGUAUUUGGGACCUUUCUUGCUGCUUGAGAUAGGUCUGAAUUACAAUGUAUUUUCCUCUUAGGACUGCCUUUUAUGCAUCUCAAAGGGUCUGGACAGUCAUGUUUUCAUUUUCAUUUGUUUCCACGUAUUUUUAAAUUUCUUCUUUAACUUCCUGGUUGACCCACUCAUUCUUUAGCAGGAUGUUCUUUAUCCUCAAUGUAUUUGAGUGCUUUCCAAAUUUUUUCUUGUGUUUGAUUUCAAGUUUCAUAGUGUUAUGAUCUGAAAAUAUGCAUGGUAAGAUCUCAAUCUUUUUGUACAUGUUGAGGGCUGAUCUGUCACCCAAUAUGUGAUCUAUUCUGGAGAAUGUUCCAUAUGCACCCAAGAAGAAUGUGUAUUCCGUUGCUUUAGGAUGAAGUGUUCUGAAUAUAUCUGUUAAGUCCAUCUGAUCCAGUGUGUCAUUCAAGACCAUUGUUCCCGAGUAGAUUUUCUGCUUAGAUAAUCUAUCCAUUGUUGUAAGUGGAGUAUUAAAGUCUCUUACAAUUAUGGCAUUAUUGUCAAUAAGUUUACUCAUGUUUGUGAUUAAUUGAUUUACAUAUUUGGGAGUUUCAAGUUGGGGGCAUAAAUGUUUACAAUUGUUAGCUUUUCUUGAUGGACAGACCCCUUAAUUAUCAUAUAAUGCCCUCCUUCAUCUUUUGUUACAGUCUUUGUUUUAAAGUCUAGUUUGUCUGAUAUAAGUAUGGCUACUCCAGCUUUCUUUUGACAUCCAGUAGCAUGAUAGAUGGUUCUCCAUCCCCUAACUUUCAAUCUGCAGAUGUCCUCAGGUCUAAAAUGGGUCUCUUGUAGGCAGCAUAUAGAUGGGUCUUGUUUUUUUUAAUCUAUUCUGAUACCCUAUGUCAUUUGAUUGGGGAAUUUAGUCCAUUUACAUUCAGAGUGAUUAUUGAAAGAUAUGAAUUUAGUGCCAUUGUGUUAUCUGUAGAUAACACAAUGUGGUUUUGUGUUUGUGGUGAUGUUGUCUGGUCAUUUGUAGUCUUUGCUGCUUUCCACUCACAGAGUCCCUCUUAGAAUUUCUUGCAGGACUGGUUUAGUGGUCACAAACUCCUUUAGUUUAUGUUUGCUUGGAAGCUCUUUAUUUCUCCUUUUCUGAAUGACAGCUUUGCCGAAUAAAGGAUUCUUGGCUACAUAUUUUUCUUAUUCAUCAUAUUAAAUGUUUCCUGCCAUUUCCUUCUGGCCUGCCAAGUUUCAGUGGAACCUUAUGUGUCUACCUUUGUAGGUGAAGGACAUUUUGUCCCUAGAUGCUUUCAGAAUUCUCUCUUUAUCUUUGUAUUUUGCAAGUUUCACUAUGAUAUGUCGUGGGGUUGACCUUUUUUUUUGUUGAUUUUGAAGGGAGUUCUCUGUGCCUCUUGGACUUGGAUGCCUGUUUUUUUCCCCCAGAUUAGGGAAGUGCUCAGCUAUAAUUUGUUCAAAUAAACCUUCUGCCCCUUUUUGCUCUUCUUUUUCUGGGACUCCUCUGAUAUGGAUAUUGUUUUGUUUCAUGGAAUCACUUAGAUCUCUAAUUCUCCCCUGUGGUUUAGUACUUUCCUCUCCCUCUUUUUUUCAGGUUUAUUAUUUUCCAUAGUUUUAUAUUUUAUUUCACCUAUUCUCUCCUCUGCUUCUUCAAUCCUCACUGUCACUAUAUCUAGUUAUUUUGCAUCUCCAUAUUGCAUUUUUAAAAUUCAUCCUGACUAGUUCUUUGGUCUUUGAUCUCUGUGGCAAGUGUUUCUCUGGUGUCUUCUAUGCUUUUCUUCAAGCCUAGCUAUCAGUCUUAUGACUAUCUUUCUAAAUUUUGUUCAGAUGUAUUUUUUAUAUCUGUUUUGAGCAAGUCUCUGGCUGUGAUUUCUUCUCAACCUUUCUUAUGGGGAGAAUUCCUCUGGCCUGUCACUUUGCUUAAGUUUCUCUCAUUUGCAUUUUUUAAAAGCCUGUCAUGUGUCCUGCAUCUGAGAGUACUACUAUAUUAAAAAUGAGUCAUACACUGUCCAGGGCCUGGCACUCCAGGAAGUGUUUCUGGUGUAUGUUGAAGGCACUCUGCUGUUGCGUUUUGGCUGCUCUAUCCCACUGGUCAAUCCUUUGCAGAGCUCCUCCUUGCUUCAACUAGGUGUGCUUUGAUUUGUUUGUUGAGGUAACCCUAGGAAAAAAAGGAUGGGGGAAACCUGAUCCCAUAAAAAGAGAAAAAGGAAAGUGGAGAACAGAAAAACAAAAAGAAUAAAAAAAAAACAAAACAGAAAAUUAUAAGCCUGAUUCCAAAGAAAGAGUAGGAAAAAAAUAAAGAAAAAAGUAGAAUAAAAGAGAAAAGAUGAAACAAAAAGAGAAUAAAUGAAGUCUGAUAUACAUAUACAUAUACAAAUGUAUAUGUACAUCAAUAUAUGUCUAUAUAUGUAUAUCUAUCUAUAUAUAGAUAUAGAUAUAUUGAUAUACAUAUACAUAUACAUAUGUGUGUGUAUAUAUAUGUGUGUGUGUGUAUAUAUAUAUAUAUAUAUAUAUAUAUAUAUAUGGUAAGAAAUGACAAAAAAAAAAUCAGAAACCAUGAGCCUGAUUCCAAGAGAAAAAAAAGAAAAAAGAAGAAGGAGGAAAGAAAGAGAGAAAAAAGAAAAAAAAGUUGUCUGUUGGCGCCUGGGGCUGGUGGCUGUGCUUUUCUGGAGGAGAGACUGGCUGCGAUGGGUCAGCCAGUCUUGCUCCAGUAAAUAAGCAGUUUCCAGGCAUGGAGGGGAGGGUUUAGGUGUAAUCAGUCCUGCUUCCACUGGGAGCCACUGUGUUGCUCUCCAAUGUCCCACUGUGUUGGUGUUGGGGAGAAAAUGACAUCACUCCAAUCUCUCAACCCUGGACCAGGGAUCUCAACCCUAUCUUAUCAGGCAGCCCUCACAGAAUAGAGAAUGCAGUCAGCUUGCCCUGCUCCACAGUUCUCCUGCACCUUCUUGUCGCUCAUCUGGAUUCAAAAUCUGAAGUCUUAAAGGACUCAGCACCGUACAGCAAUGCUCCCCAGCUCCAGAGUAAAGCCUCUCCCCACUGCUGAUGAAAGGCCUUUGGCUGGCACCUGCAGGGUCUUUUGUCCUUGGGGAGACAAAAACCCUUCAUCUCAAAGUACUCUGAGAAGAGAAUUAUUCUCUCCCCGGACACGCCAGAGAUUGCUACACCACACUAUGCACUCUGGGGUGGCUGCUUCCUCGCCAGGAGCAUGAGCCAGGGUUCCAGUCUGGGUAAAGUUGCACACUUCUGAAAACUCUGAGUUUCAAUUCCAAGGCUGUUGCAAACAAAGAGUUGGGACACUCAGUACUUCUUGCUCCCAAGUCCAUAGUCCAGAGAAGCUUGCUCUUGUCCUAACUCCAUGCUGCACUUUCAUAAUCCCUUUCUCUUUCUCUCCCGUUUGUCUCUCCACAGAAGGGGUUCUCUCUCCUCUAUGCUCUGCUACUGUAUAUCCCUAAAAUCACAUAUAUCCACCUCAAUCCUGCCAAGCUGUAUCCCUCCAAAUGUGGAGAUCAUUUGGCUGCUCUGCAGUUCAAUUUCCUGGGUGUUCUAAGUGAUCUGACACCAAUACAGCUGUGUUUGAGUGGCAAGGCCCUCCUACUUCUCUGCCAUCUUAACUCUCCUCUCCCUGCAUCCAUUUCUUGCAUAGGUUAAAGGUAAGCUAGAGCAAGCAGUCUGAGGGGGUAAGGGUUUGUAUUUUAUGUAAUCUGUGUUACCUCAGGAAACACAAACACAAAUUAAAAAUUAGAGUAAUUCCCACAGACACACCAUUACUGUAGUCAUACAUCCCACUCUGCUGACCUAAUCACUACAAAGUCGUUAUCUUCCAAAGUACCCCUCUUUCCAACGUGGGCAAAUUCUAUUCUUUUCUUCCUGAUUGGACAUUCUCUGCUCUGAGACCCAUAGAUUCAAGAGAAAUGCUCCUUGAUGGUGCAUAGUUUUAGACAAUCAUUGCAAGAUAGAACCAGUACUUCCCCUAGGAGUAAGCUUCUCUUUCCUUAGAAUCUCACGAUUUUCUUAGGAUAGGUGAUGCCUUGGGGCGCCUGGGUGGCGCAGUCGGUUAAGCGUCCAACUUCAGCCAGGUCACGAUCUCGCGGUCUGUGAGUUCGAGCCCCGCGUCAGGCUCUGGGCUGAUGGCUCAGAGCCUGGAGCCUGUUUCUGAUUCUGUGUCUCCCUCUCUCUCUGCCCCUCCCCUGUUCAUGCUCUGUCUCUCUCUGUCCCAAAAAUAAAUAAACGUUGAAAAAAAAAUUAAAAAAAAAAAAAAAAAAGGGAUAGGUGAUGCCUAACUCUGUCAUGUGCAGGAUCUUACAGUUAUGCCCCAAUGACCACAGUUAUCCUAAAUGCCUUAAUUUCAUGUUCAGGCCUAACUGGAAACUUGGAAUCCUGCUAAAUAUAUUUGAAUCUCAAGGAUUUUGUUUCAUUUUUAAAAAGUUUUUAAUGUUCAUUUAUUUUUGAGAGAGAGAGAGAGAGAGAGAGAGAGAGNNNNNNNNNNNNNNNNNNNNNNNNNNNNNNNNNNNNNNNNNNNNNNNNNNNNNNNNNNNNNNNNNNNNNNNNNNNNNNNNNNNNNNNNNNNNNNNNNNNNNAGGCCCGACGCAGGUUCGAACUCACAAGCUGUGAGAUCAUGACCUGAGCUGAAGUCAGACGCUUAACCUAUUGAGCCACCCAGAUGCCCCUUAAGGAUUUUGUUUCUAAGUGGUGGAUCUAACUCCUUCUGCUUUAAUGACUAUUUCUUGGACUAAUAUUCAAUAUCCCAUGUUUCUAAUUCCCCCUCUAACAUGAAUUUACAUGGAGAAUGAUUCCAUAAAGAGUGCUGACUGAUUAUCCAAUAGGAAGCCUUCCUAUUUCCAUUUACAGCAGUGUGCCUAAUUUCCACCAGUACAGUUAUUUCUUCAGGACAUGGUAUCUCCACAAGGCCUGGCUAAAAUGAGCAUGUCGCUAGGAUCAGGAACCACUUGAGGACUAAGCAGAGAAGUUCAUCACACUGACAUGGAGGCCAUGAGCCACAGGGAAAUUUUUGAUGGAGGAUUACCACAGGUCAAAAUUUGGGAAGCCCUCAGCUGGGGCUUACCUUAAGUGAGACAGUGGGGCUGAAGAAACUCAUCUUCCUGUGCUCACCAUCAACUUUCUGCCCCCUUACCAUGGAUUUCCCAACUGCCACAUCAAUUUCAGAGCCUCUGUUCACAGCUUUACAAAAAUGAAAUUUUGUGUUGUUCCUAGGUGGAAGCCAUUAUCUACUACUGGACCGUGUAUCUGAGAUUCUUCAAGAUCAUGGUCAUAAUGUCACUAUGCUUUUUUACGGAGAAGAGUUUUUAACCCCAGG
Molecule: long non-coding RNA, 10130 nt
Filed under: Lynx pardinus (Iberian lynx)
Lineage: Eukaryota; Metazoa; Chordata; Mammalia; Carnivora; Felidae
Source: RNAcentral